Molecule: ribosomal RNA, 410 nt
Filed under: uncultured bacterium
Lineage: Bacteria
Description: bacterial SSU rRNA
Rfam family: Bacterial small subunit ribosomal RNA
Source: RNAcentral
AUUGAACGCUGGCGGCGUGCCUUACACAUGCAAGUCGAACGGCAGCACGGGAGCAAUCCUGGUGGCGAGUGGCGAACGGGUGAGUAAUAUAUCGGAACGUGCCCAGUCGUGGGGGAUAACGCAGCGAAAGUUGUGCUAAUACCGCAUACGAUCUCUGGAUGAAAGCGGGGGACUCGCAAGGGCCUCGCGCGAUUGGAGCGGCCGAUAUCAGAUUAGCUAGUUGGUGGGGUAAAGGCCUACCAAGGCGACGAUCUGUAGCCGGUCUGAGAGGACGACUAGCCACACUGGAACUGAGACACGGUCCAGACUCCUACGGGAGGCAGCAGUGGGGAAUUUUUGGACAAUGGGCGCAAGCCUGAUCCAGCAAUGCCGCGUGCAGGAUGAAGGCCUUCGGGUUGUAAACUGCUUUU